Lathyrus oleraceus (garden pea) is the source of this 129-nucleotide small nucleolar RNA. RefSeq annotates it as small nucleolar RNA snoR74. The record is from RefSeq and is a predicted model, not a curated record. The transcript has a single exon. NCBI's taxonomy places the organism in Eukaryota, Viridiplantae, Streptophyta, Magnoliopsida, Fabales, Fabaceae.
CAAAAAGCAGUGGUCUGUUUACUAUAUGAGCAGUCCUCUCGUAACUAUCAGGGAUAUAAAACUCAUUGUUUUUGGGUGAACCUAUGUUCUUUUUUUGUGACUGUAGGUUCAGUAAAUGAUUGAACAGUU